ACCCUUUUAGUAUAAAAAGUAUAUUUAACUUCCAAUUAAAAGGUUAUUAAAAAGGGUA
Molecule: transfer RNA, 58 nt
Filed under: Polytoxus fuscovittatus
Lineage: Eukaryota; Metazoa; Arthropoda; Insecta; Hemiptera; Reduviidae
Also listed under: 2 other names
Description: tRNA-Gly
Source: RNAcentral